CCCAUGUUCGGGGCUCUCCGGAGAGAUAAUACCCCUACUCCUGCAUGUCUGUGUAUCUGUAGUAUAUCUGGUACAGGGUUGCUCCUGGAGCUGUAUCGGAGAUCAGUGCCAAGUGCAUCUGAUCUGGUAUAUGCAUGCGCAUGGGGCAUGCUAGUGUCCGGCCAUGCUCAUGGCCGUGAGCCUGUGGGUGCUCAUGCGUGAGUGUGUAUGAGAGUGAGUCCAUCCUCCCUGGAUGGAUGGAUGUGUGCCCAUAUAUAUAGGCAUGGCUAGCUUAGGAAGUAAGCUAAGUGGUGGCAUGGGCAAGGCAUGGUGGGGUGUCAUGCUUGUCCCCUGGGUCACUUCAUAAAUAGUGCCAGGGGACAAGUGACACUAUACAUGAUGCCUGGGGUGACACGUCAAUAGUGCUCGGGUACGACCGUCUCGUCGGUGUCUUGUCGGUGUCGAGUCGGGCUGAAGCCGGCAGCCGGCUAGUUGGUGCAGUCGACAGCCGGCAGCCGGCCAGGCAGAGCAGUCGGACUGGGAGCCGGCAGGAGCAGCCGGGCAGUUGGACUGAGGGGCUUUGCUAGCCCCGAUGUCUUGAAAUAUUGUCUUGCCGUCUUCGGGAUACCCGUGGCCAAUUACUCCGACAAUAGCCCCCAAGCCUCUGGGCAACUUGGCAAAGUUGGGCGGAGGUUUUUUGGCGGGUGUUCAUGGAAAUGAUCAUGCAAAAGACAAAGUUAGUCCACGUAGAUAUAUCAAAUGAUUGCUUUUAGCGUUGCAAGUUUUAUGCAGAGGGUGUCGACUCGGUUUUGUCCGAGCCCCCUUCAAUCUUUUUCGUGUUCCCUCCGCUUUUUGGCUUGUGCUCUCGCUCGCCGGACAGCCGCUCUGCGGUCUGUGGCUGAGAGUGGGCCGCGAAGCGGAGUGUACAGUACUCAGACUCUGGGAGCGAAUUUAACCGAGCAGAUACUCAUAAAGAAAACGGCCGGGUCGCCCGAACCGCUUUUCUUCCCGGACGUUUUUCGCGUGGGUGGCCUCCAGCGUUCACUCUUGCUAGCCGGACAGCCGCUCUGCGGUCUGUGACUAAGAGUGGGCCUUUGGUACCGCGCACGCUACUAAGCCGUCUGUGGGAACAAAUGUCUCAGGCCAAGCGGCCAGCCCCCGGGCCAACUCUGGCUGGCGCCGGGGCAAACAGUGCUGCAACUAUAAUAAAAUGCGGAGAUAGCCCCCGAGCAUUGCUCGGGGUUAUCCGUGCUCUCGCGGUGAAAAAAAUAUGCGGGUGAGGAGCUCACGUUGAUUUUCGUGUAGCCCAGGCGGAGGUCGUCGAAGACAGCCGGCGCUCGCGGAGCGCAUCAGCGCACCCGCUGGGUGUAGUCCUCGAGCCUCCAGGCGCUCGAGGAGGGGUCCUGGCCGGUCAGGCUCGACCGGCUAGGCGGCGAGGCAUCUUGCAGCGCCCUUUUUCUUCUUAUGCCGGCUGCUGGCAGCCGGACAAAACUCUUCUCUUGUCUGCGAUCUUCCGUGGGGGCGCGCCAGCGCACCCACUGGGUGUAGCCCCCGAGAUUCGGGCCGACCGCUGAGCAGUCAGCCCGGAUCUUCCGGCAACUACUUUGUCUUCUUUCUCGCGGGGCCGCGCCAGCGCACCCGCUGGGUGUAGCCCCCGAGUUUCGGGCCGACUGCUGAGCAGUCGGGCCGGAUCUCCCGGCGACUACUUUGUCUUCUUCUUCACGGGGGCGCGUCAGCGCACCCGUUGGGUGUAGCCCCCGAGAUUCGGGCCGACUGCUGAGCAGUCGGGCCGGAUCUCCCGGCGACUACUUUGUCUUCUUCCCUUUUUCUCGUCAGCCCGCUGUGCGCAGCCGUACCGGCUCGUCGGUCGGCCAGGCAGUGAAGCGGGCAGACGAGCCAGCCGGCCGGGCGGCAACGUGGGCUUUUGACCAGAGCAGUCGGCUGGAC
RNAcentral lists this ribosomal RNA (1926 nucleotides) under Triticum aestivum (bread wheat). RNAcentral's name for it is "partial small subunit ribosomal RNA". Lineage: Eukaryota; Viridiplantae; Streptophyta; Magnoliopsida; Poales; Poaceae. The record is from RNAcentral.